This 84-nucleotide microRNA precursor is filed under the name Camelina sativa (false flax). RNAcentral's name for it is "miR390a stem-loop (cas-MIR390a)". Its record names the gene cas-MIR390a. The record is from miRBase by way of RNAcentral. Lineage: Eukaryota; Viridiplantae; Streptophyta; Magnoliopsida; Brassicales; Brassicaceae.
CUGUAAAGCUCAGGAGGGAUAGCGCCAUGAUGAUCAUUAUUGACAUAGAUUAUAUUUGGCGCUAUCCAUCCUGAGUUUCAUUGG